RNAcentral lists this ribosomal RNA (2906 nucleotides) under Klebsiella pneumoniae. RNAcentral describes it as "23S ribosomal RNA". It matches the Rfam family "Bacterial large subunit ribosomal RNA". The record is from RNAcentral. Lineage: Bacteria; Pseudomonadati; Pseudomonadota; Gammaproteobacteria; Enterobacterales; Enterobacteriaceae.
GGUUAAGCGACUAAGCGUACACGGUGGAUGCCCUGGCAGUCAGAGGCGAUGAAGGACGUGCUAAUCUGCGAAAAGCGUCGGUAAGGUGAUAUGAACCGUUAUAACCGGCGAUGUCCGAAUGGGGAAACCCAGUGUGAUUCGUCACACUAUCGUUAACUGAAUACAUAGGUUAACGAGGCGAACCGGGGGAACUGAAACAUCUAAGUACCCCGAGGAAAAGAAAUCAACCGAGAUUCCCCCAGUAGCGGCGAGCGAACGGGGAGCAGCCCAGAGUCUGAAUCAGCUUGUGUGUUAGUGGAACGGUCUGGAAAGUCCGACGGUACAGGGUGAUAGUCCCGUACACCAAAAUGCACAGGCUGUGAACUCGAAGAGUAGGGCGGGACACGUGGUAUCCUGUCUGAAUAUGGGGGGACCAUCCUCCAAGGCUAAAUACUCCUGACUGACCGAUAGUGAACCAGUACCGUGAGGGAAAGGCGAAAAGAACCCCGGCGAGGGGAGUGAAAAAGAACCUGAAACCGUGUACGUACAAGCAGUGGGAGCACCUUCGGGUGUGACUGCGUACCUUUUGUAUAAUGGGUCAGCGACUUAUAUUCUGUAGCAAGGUUAACCGUAUAGGGGAGCCGCAGGGAAACCGAGUCUUAACUGGGCGUUAAGUUGCAGGGUAUAGACCCGAAACCCGGUGAUCUAGCCAUGGGCAGGUUGAAGGUUGGGUAACACUAACUGGAGGACCGAACCGACUAAUGUUGAAAAAUUAGCGGAUGACUUGUGGCUGGGGGUGAAAGGCCAAUCAAACCGGGAGAUAGCUGGUUCUCCCCGAAAGCUAUUUAGGUAGCGCCUCGUGAAUGCAUCUUCGGGGGGUAGAGCACUGUUUCGGCUAGGGGGUCAUCCCGACUUACCAACCCGAUGCAAACUACGAAUACCGAAGAAUGUUAUCACGGGAGACACACGGCGGGUGCUAACGUCCGUCGUGAAGAGGGAAACAACCCAGACCGCCAGCUAAGGUCCCAAAGUCAUGGUUAAGUGGGAAACGAUGUGGGAAGGCACAGACAGCCGGGGAUGUUGGCUUAGAAGCAGCCAUCAUUUAAAGAAAGCGUAAUAGCUCACUGGUCGAGUCGGCCUGCGCGGAAGAUGUAACGGGGGCUAAACCAUGCACCGAAGCUGCGGCAGCGACACUAUGUGUUGUUGGGUAGGGGAGCGUUCUGUAAGCCUGCGAAGGUGUGCUGUGAGGCAUGCUGGAGGUAUCAGAAGUGCGAAUGCUGACAUAAGUAACGAUAAAGCGGGUGAAAAGCCCGCUCGCCGGAAGACCAAGGGUUCCUGUCCAACGUUAAUCGGGGCAGGGUGAGUCGACCCCUAAGGCGAGGCCGAAAGGCGUAGUCGAUGGGAAACAGGUUAAUAUUCCUGUACUUGGUGUUACUGCGAAGGGGGGACGGAGAAGGCUAUGUUAGCCGGGCGACGGUUGUCCCGGUUUAAGCAUGUAGGCUGAUUGUCCAGGCAAAUCCGGAUAAUCAAGGCUGAGGUGUGAUGACGAGGCACUACGGUGCUGAAGUAACAAAUGCCCUGCUUCCAGGAAAAGCCUCUAAGCAUCAGGUAACAUUAAAUCGUACCCCAAACCGACACAGGUGGUCAGGUAGAGAAUACCAAGGCGCUUGAGAGAACUCGGGUGAAGGAACUAGGCAAAAUGGUGCCGUAACUUCGGGAGAAGGCACGCUGGUGUGUAGGUGAAGCCCCUGCGGGUGGAGCUGAGACCAGUCGAAGAUACCAGCUGGCUGCAACUGUUUAUUAAAAACACAGCACUGUGCAAACACGAAAGUGGACGUAUACGGUGUGACGCCUGCCCGGUGCCGGAAGGUUAAUUGAUGGGGUUAUCCGUAAGGAGAAGCUCUUGAUCGAAGCCCCGGUAAACGGCGGCCGUAACUAUAACGGUCCUAAGGUAGCGAAAUUCCUUGUCGGGUAAGUUCCGACCUGCACGAAUGGCGUAAUGAUGGCCAGGCUGUCUCCACCCGAGACUCAGUGAAAUUGAACUCGCUGUGAAGAUGCAGUGUACCCGCGGCAAGACGGAAAGACCCCGUGAACCUUUACUAUAGCUUGACACUGAACAUUGAGCCUUGAUGUGUAGGAUAGGUGGGAGGCUUUGAAGCGUGGACGCCAGUCUGCGUGGAGCCAACCUUGAAAUACCACCCUUUAAUGUUUGAUGUUCUAACGUUGGCCCCUGACCGGGGUUGCGGACAGUGUCUGGUGGGUAGUUUGACUGGGGCGGUCUCCUCCCAAAGCGUAACGGAGGAGCACGAAGGUUAGCUAAUCCCCGGUCGGACAUCAGGAGGUUAGUGCAAUGGCAUAAGCUAGCUUGACUGCGAGCGUGACGGCGCGAGCAGGUGCGAAAGCAGGUCAUAGUGAUCCGGUGGUUCUGAAUGGAAGGGCCAUCGCUCAACGGAUAAAAGGUACUCCGGGGAUAACAGGCUGAUACCGCCCAAGAGUUCAUAUCGACGGCGGUGUUUGGCACCUCGAUGUCGGCUCAUCACAUCCUGGGGCUGAAGUAGGUCCCAAGGGUAUGGCUGUUCGCCAUUUAAAGUGGUACGCGAGCUGGGUUUAGAACGUCGUGAGACAGUUCGGUCCCUAUCUGCCGUGGGCGCUGGAGAAUUGAGGGGGGCUGCUCCUAGUACGAGAGGACCGGAGUGGACGCAUCACUGGUGUUCGGGUUGUCAUGCCAAUGGCACUGCCCGGUAGCUAAAUGCGGAAGAGAUAAGUGCUGAAAGCAUCUAAGCACGAAACUUGCCCCGAGAUGAGUUCUCCCUGAGACUUUAAGUCUCCUGAAGGAACGUUGAAGACGACGACGUUGAUAGGCCGGGUGUGUAAGCGCAGCGAUGCGUUGAGCUAACCGGUACUAAUGAACCGUGAGGCUUAACCUU